This 327-nucleotide ribosomal RNA is filed under the name uncultured eukaryote. RNAcentral describes it as "partial 18S ribosomal RNA". It matches the Rfam family "Eukaryotic small subunit ribosomal RNA", at positions 1470 to 1796 of the family's 1831-position model. The record is from RNAcentral.
CCCUUAGAUGUUCUGGGCCGCACGCGCGCUACACUGAUGAAUGCAACGAGCUCUACUCUUGACCGAAAGGCCCGGGUAAACUUGUGAAACUUCAUCGUGAUGGGGAUAGAUUAUUGCAAUUAUUAAUCUUCAACGAGGAAUUCCUAGUAAGCGCGAGUCAUCAGCUCGCGUUGAUUACGUCCCUGCCCUUUGUACACACCGCCCGUCGCUCCUACCGAUUGAAUGGUCCGGUGAAAUCUUCGGAUUGCUGACCAAGAUCCAGCAAUGGAGCUUGGUUGCGAGAAGUUGAUUAAACCUUAUUAUUUAGAGGAAGGAGAAGUCGUAACA